AUUGAACGCUGGCGGAAUGCUUUACACAUGCAAGUCGAACGGCAGCACGGGGCAACCUGGUGGCGAGUGGCGAACGGGUGAGUAAUACAUCGGAACGUGCCCAAUCGUGGGGGAUAACGUAGCGAAAGUUACGCUAAUACCGCAUACGAUCUACGGAUGAAAGCGGGGGAUCGCAAGACCUCGCGCGAAUGGAGCGGCCGAUGUCAGAUUAGGUAGUUGGUGGGGUAAAGGCUCACCAAGCCGACGAUCUGUAGCUGGUCUGAGAGGACGACCAGCCACACUGGGACUGAGACACGGCCCAGACUCCUACGGGAGGCAGCAGUGGGGAAUAUUAGAAAUGGACGAAAGUCUGAUCUAGCAACACCGCGUGUGCGAAGAAGGCCUUCGGGUCGUAAGCACUUUUGGAAGGAAUAGGAAGGAAUGUACUUCCAGAAUAAGUCUCGGCUAACUACGUG
This 455-nucleotide ribosomal RNA is filed under the name uncultured bacterium. RNAcentral describes it as "bacterial SSU rRNA". It matches the Rfam family "Bacterial small subunit ribosomal RNA", at positions 30 to 507 of the family's 1533-position model. The record is from RNAcentral.